UAGUCUACGCUGUAAACGAUGUCAAUUAAAGGAUAGUUAUUUUAAAUAAUUAUUUUUAAAGCUAACGCGUUAAAUUGACCGCCUGGGGGGUACGACCGCAAGGUUAAAACUCAAAUGAAUUGACGGGGGCCCGCACAAGCGGUGGAGCAUGUGGUUUAAUUCGAUGCAACGCGAAGAACCUUACCUACUCUUGACACCCAAAGAAUUUUGUAGAGAUACAAAAGUGCUUUCGAGAACUUUGAGACAGGUGCUGCAUGGCUGUCGUCAGCUCGUGUUGUGAAAUGUUGGGUUAAGUCCCGCAACGAGCGUAACCCUUAUCCUUUGUUGCUAACAAGUUAAGUUGAGAACUCAAAGGAACUGCCGGUGAUAAACCGGNGGAAGGUGAGGACGACGUCAAGUCAUCAUGGCCCUUACGAGUAGGGCUACACACGUGCUACAAUGGUAUAUACAAAGAGCGGCUAUCUUGCAAAAGUAAGCAAAUCUCAUAAAGUNUAUCUAAGUCCGGAUUGAAGUCUGCAACUCGACUUCA
RNAcentral lists this ribosomal RNA (529 nucleotides) under uncultured bacterium. RNAcentral describes it as "bacterial SSU rRNA". It matches the Rfam family "Bacterial small subunit ribosomal RNA", at positions 791 to 1320 of the family's 1533-position model. The record is from RNAcentral.